Molecule: ribosomal RNA, 388 nt
Filed under: uncultured bacterium
Lineage: Bacteria
Description: bacterial SSU rRNA
Rfam family: Bacterial small subunit ribosomal RNA
Source: RNAcentral
AUUGAACGCUGGCGGCAUGCCUUACACAUGCAAGUCGAACGGCAGCACGGGGCAACCUGGUGGCGAGUGGCGAACGGGUGGGUAAUGCAUCGGAACGUGCCAUUGAGUGGGGGAUAACGUAGCGAAAGUUGCGCUAAUACCGCAUAUUCUGUGAGCAGGAAAGCAGGGGACCGCAAGGCCUUGCGCUCUUUGAGCGGCCGAUGUCAGAUUAGCUAGUUGGUGAGGUAACGGCUUACCAAGGCGACGAUCUGUAGCGGGUCUGAGAGGAUGAUCCGCCACACUGGAACUGAGACACGGUCCAGACUCCUACGGGAGGCAGCAGUGGGGAAUUUUGGACAAUGGGCGCAAGCCUGAUCCAGCCAUGCCGCGUGAGUGAAGAAGGCCUCGG